Molecule: ribosomal RNA, 547 nt
Filed under: uncultured bacterium
Lineage: Bacteria
Description: bacterial SSU rRNA
Rfam family: Bacterial small subunit ribosomal RNA
Source: RNAcentral
GGAAUAUUGGGCAAUGGAGGAAACUCUGACCCAGCGACGCCGCGUGCGGGAUGAAGGCCUUCGGGUUGUAAACCGCUUUCAGCAAGGAAGAAGCGAAAGUGACGGUACUUGCAGAAGAAGCACCGGCUAACUAUGUGCCAGCAGCCGCGGUAAUACAUAGGGUGCAAGCGUUGUCCGGAAUUAUUGGGCGUAAAGAGCUCGUAGGUGGUUCGUCACGUCGGAUGUGAAACUCUGGGGCUUAACCCCAGACCUGCAUUCGAUACGGGCGAGCUUGAGUAUGGUAGGGGAGUCUGGAAUUCCUGGUGUAGCGGUGGAAUGCGCAGAUAUCAGGAGGAACACCAAUGGCGAAGGCAGGACUCUGGGCCAUUACUGACACUGAGGAGCGAAAGCGUGGGGAGCGAACAGGAUUAGAUACCCUGGUAGUCCACGCCGUAAACGGUGGGCACUAGUUGUGGGAACCUUCCACGGUUUCCGCGACGCAGCAAACGCAUUAAGUGCCCCGCCUGGGGAGUACGAUCGCAAGAUUAAAACUCAAAUGAAUUGACGG